Molecule: ribosomal RNA, 1009 nt
Filed under: Selaginella kraussiana
Lineage: Eukaryota; Viridiplantae; Streptophyta; Lycopodiopsida; Selaginellales; Selaginellaceae
Description: partial large subunit ribosomal RNA
Source: RNAcentral
GAUUUCAUAGUAACGGCGAGCGAACUGGAAAGAGCCCAGAUUGAAAAUCGGGGUAUCAUGCCCCGAAUUGUAGUCUGAAGAAGUGUCCUCUGUAGCGGACCGGGCCUAGGUUCCUUGGAAUGGGACGCCGGAGAGGGUGAGAGCCCCGUCCGGCCCGGACCCUGCUGCUCCACGAGGCGCUAUCAUCGAGUCGGGUUGUUUGGGAAUGCAGCCUCAAGUGGGUGGUAAAUCUCAUCCAAGGCUAAAUACUGGCAAGAGACCGAUAGCGAACAAGUACCGCGAGGGAAAGAUGAAAAGGACUUUGAAAAGAGAGUUAAAAAGUGCUUGAAAUUGCUGGGAGGGAAGCGAAUGGAUGCCCUGGGUGCAGCUUGGUUGUGUGCAGAACGGUCAUCCGUGACUGGUCUGCCAAUCAACUGAGUUGCGUGCUAGUGUCAGCAGUGGCAGGAGGACAGACGGUGGGUGCCUUUGGCACRUGCCUUGUGCUCUUGCCGCUGCUGGGGCCUUUAGGAACGCGUCUUCGGACGGGCCCGAUUCGUCGGGUGCCUGCGUUCCUUGGAUGCUGGCUUUUUGGGCUUUUCAUUCGACCCGUCUUGAAACACGGACCAAGGAGUCUAACAUGUAUGCGAGUUGGUGGGUUUCAAACCCAUUGUGGCACAAGGAAACUGAUUUGUGGGAUCCCCUCGAGGGUGCACCACAGGCCGACCAUGAACUUCUGUGAAAGGUUUGAGUGCGAGCAUAUCUGUUGGGACCCGAAAGAUGGUGAACUAUGCCUGAGCAGGGUGAAGCCAGAGGAAACUCUGGUGGAGGCUCGUAGCGAUACUGACGUGCAAAUCGUUCGUCGGACUUGGGUAUAGGGGCGAAAGACUAAUCGAACCUUCUAGUAGCUGGUUCCCUCCGAAGUUUCCCUCAGGAUAGCUGGAGCUCUUGUGAGUUUAUCAGGUAAAGCGAAUGAUUAAAGGCAUUGGGGGACUCGCUCCCUCGACCUAUUCUCAACUUUAAAUGGGUAAGG